GAAAUGCGAUAAGUAAUGUGAAUUGCAGAAUUCAGUGAAUCAUCGAAUCUUUGAACGCACCUUGCGCUCCUUGGUAUUCCUUGGAGCAUGCCUGUUUGAGUCUCAUGAAAUCUUCAAAGUAAAUCUUUUGUUAACUCAAUUGGUUUCUACUUUGGUAUUGGAGGUCUUUGCAGCUUCACACCUGCUCCUCUUUGUUCAUUAGCUGGAUCUCAGUGUUAUGCUUGGUUCCACUCGGCGUGAUAAGUUAUCUAUCGCUGAGGACACUGUAAAAGGUGGCCAAGGUAAAUGCAGAUGAACCGCUUCUAAUAGUCCAUUGACUUGGACAAUACUUUUAUGAUCUGAUCUCGAAUCAGGUAGGACUACCCGCUGAACUUAAGC
This 378-nucleotide unclassified non-coding RNA is filed under the name plant metagenome. RNAcentral describes it as "partial contains 5.8S ribosomal RNA, internal transcribed spacer 2, and large subunit ribosomal RNA". The stretch from base 1 to 105 matches the Rfam family "5.8S ribosomal RNA", at positions 50 to 154 of the family's 154-position model. The record is from RNAcentral.